Pelobates cultripes (western spadefoot toad) is the source of this 759-nucleotide non-coding RNA. The record is from the annotation of a GenBank genome assembly. NCBI's taxonomy places the organism in Eukaryota, Metazoa, Chordata, Amphibia, Anura, Pelobatidae.
CCAAGAUUUAGUCUGACCCAAACCACCUAUAUUAGACGGGCUGACUACAGAGUGUCUAAUUUCCAGAUAAGCGAUGCGCCUUCGCUUCUUCCCUCCAGAGGGAGGGGGCAGUCCAAUAACCGGUUCCAAAUAUAAAACCCCUUGUGGGCCUACCGCUCUAACGGUAUAGUCUUACCUUUUAGUUCCUGGACCUGGGUUCACACUCAUCGACGGGGCACCCCGGUACUCACUGCGCAGAAGCCGAUGAUCUCCUGGACAAAAGCCCAGUGGCGCCGAGACGAAAGGAGGUCCACGCAGAAGUUCAGGGGUGCUGUCGUGGAGAACGUUGGUAAAAGUUUACCAUCUCAAAUCUCUGCGCCAGCUUCCGUGCAAUGAGGUUCCUGGACCCAAUGCACCAAAAAUGUUACCGGAGGAUAACAGGAACAAACCGCAGAAGCCACACAGAGAUAUGGACACAAGUCUUCAGGAAGUAACAGGUCUUUUAUUUACACACCGAUCUGGUCUCAGAUGAACUCCUGUUCCAAAAAUAUCUGAGAGAGGGAAAGCAUGGUGCAGAGGCCUUUUGUUAGCAGCAGUAUAACCCCUCCUAUAUUCCACAGACCAAUCAGCACACAGGAUAUUCAGGAUCACCUUAUAUAGGCAGACCACAUGGCAUUUACAGACAAAGGAAAGUACUAUCCACUUCCACACAUGCUCAGUAUACUGAUGACUCAUCCAACUGUUUGUAAUCAGAUACUAAUUAGCAUAUGCCAUGUGGAG